RNAcentral lists this ribosomal RNA (738 nucleotides) under uncultured bacterium. RNAcentral describes it as "bacterial SSU rRNA". It matches the Rfam family "Bacterial small subunit ribosomal RNA", at positions 56 to 807 of the family's 1533-position model. The record is from RNAcentral.
UGCAAGUCGAACGCACUCGGACCUUUCGGGUCCACAUGAGUGAGUGGCGAACGGGUGAGUAACACGUGAGGAACCUGCCCCGGAGUACGGGAUAACCACGGGAAACCGUGGCUAAUACCGUAUGUCUUCUUCUGGCCGCAUGGCCGGAUGAAGAAAGCUUUAGUGCUCCGGGAGGGCCUCGCGGCCUAUCAGCUUGUUGGUGAGGUAACGGCUCACCAAGGCAUCGACGGGUAGCUGGUCUGAGAGGACGGUCAGCCACACUGGGACUGAGACACGGCCCAGACUCCUACGGGAGGCAGCAGUGGGGAAUCUUGCGCAAUGGGCGAAAGCCUGACGCAGCCACGCCGCGUGAGGGAUGAAGGCUUUCGGGUUGUAAACCUCUUUCAGCAGGGACGAAAAUGACGGUACCUGCAGAAGAAGCUCCGGCCAACUACGUGCCAGCAGCCGCGGUAACACGUAGGGAGCAAGCGUUGUCCGGAUUUAUUGGGCGUAAAGGGCUCGUAGGCGGUUCAGUAAGUCAGGUGUGAAAGUCCAAGGCUCAACCUUGGGACGCCACUUGAUACUGCUGUGACUAGAGUCCGGUAGAGGAGUGUGGAAUUCCUGGUGUAGCGGUGAAAUGCGCAGAUAUCAGGAGGAACACCAACGGCGAAGGCAGCACUCUGGGCCGGUACUGACGCUGAAGAGCGAAAGCAUGGGGAGCAAACAGGAUUAGAUACCCUGGUAGUCCAUGCCGUAAAC